UGAAGGUAGCUCUCUAUGUUUGACAGUUGCUUAUUGGAGGAGAAUGCUGAGAAGGGGUUGUCUAUCAGUGAAGAUGACCAGCAACCAUUUAAUAUUGCAUUUAUUAUGAGUGAAGUGGAUAUAGUUGCUCCAGGAUCAACUAAAGCACUUGUUACAAAUCUUCAUCUAGACAUUCGUAAAGGAGACAAUCUUCUGAUAAUGGGACCAAGUUCGUCUGGAAAAUCCAGCAUUUUGCGUGUACUACGUGGACUGUGGCCGGCUGCUCGGGGAACAGUUGCUUAUGACUUUCCUCCUGGGCCUAAAGUUGUCAUCUUUCUGCCCCAAAAACCACUCCUCACUAAUGGCUCUCUUCUAGAACAGAUAAUCUACCCUCUGAGACAAGACCCAAAGGAUCCAGUCAGCAAUGAUACCUGUGAAAACAUACUUAGUCUUCUGGACUCCUUGCACAUGAGAGGUCUUGUCAACCGUGCGGGGGGGCUCAGAAAUGAUCCUGAUUGGAAUUGGAAUGAUGCACUUUCACCUGGAGAAAUGCAGCGUGUUUGUUUUUUGCGUCUUCUCUUUCACCGACCUCAGUUUGCCCUUGUAGAUGAAGCAACAAGUGCUCUAAGUUUAGAUGUUGAGGAGCAGCUGUACAAGGCAUGCUUGCAACACAAUAUUACCAUAGUCAGUGUGGGACACAGGCAUUCUCUGAAAAGGUACCACAAUACCUUGCUAACCCUAGAUGGAAUAGGUGGCUGGAAGAAGGACACCAUUCAUCAAGAAUGUGAUGAAAUUAAUCCCCACUCUGAGAGAGAUAUGUCUUCACUCUGAGUGAAUGAACCAGUUUGUGAAGACAAAAAAAAAAAAUGGACAGCUUGCACCACCAACAAUCAGGUGUAAUGCUGGAGAAUGGGAAGACUGCUAAUGUACACCAGAAGAGUUACGAGAGAUAUGGGGACAUCUACGCGAGAACAAAUAGGAAGCGCGUCUGUCUAAUGCUCAGCAGAUGGAGGAUGAACCCUCCACCAUGUCUUGUGCUGAAUGACCCACAUGGUUUAGUACAGUGGUACCUAGAGUUACGAACUUAAUCUGUUCCAGGAGGCUGUUCGAGUGCCGAUACCAAACGAAUUUGUUCCCAUAAGGAAUAAUGUAAAUUUGAUUAGUCCAUUUCAGACCCCCAAAAAUACACUUACAAAAGUACCUACAAAAAUACACUUACACAACUGUUAGAGUUGGGAGCUGUUCAAAACUCAAGGUACCACUGUACUUGACAUGAAUUAUUUAAUUUAGUGCAAUGCAAUUCCUAUAUUUAAAUCAGGGGAUAAGUCUCUGCCACCAAAUUUUCAUCCAAUAGAGAGAUUAAGAGCCCUGACCCUAUGCUCCUGAAAGAUGUAGAAUGAGGAAAGAUACUGAAGUACAGUAUAUCAGUGGAAGACAGGCAUAAAAACAAUAUAUAUAAAGUACUAAGGAUAUCCAGUAAAGAGGGAACUCGAAAUAAUGGAUUUAAACAGGAAAAAUUUUGAAUUAGAAAGGAUGUAGGAAAGUAUUGGUUUGGGAAUAGAGCUGUCAGUGAGUGAACAAUCUGCUAAGUAGGGUUAUUGAAGCUAAAUCCUUAGGAGCUUUAAAAAUAGUUUAGACAAAUAUAUAAGAGUAAAAAGGAUUGGAUUUAAGUACAACCUGCCUAGAAUCAGUUAUUAGUUUUACUGAAGCGAAUUCAUUGGGUAGCUCUUAGGUUAAAUGUGCAUAGUGUACUUUUUGUGUUAUCAGGAUCAUUGUAAAAAAUAAUUUAUGGUAUGUACCGAAGGCCUAAAUAUUGACUUAUUCGUUCACAAAACUCCAGCUGGUUCAGCCAGCCCAGUGUAGCAUAGCGUGUAUAAGGUCAAGGAUGCAGCAGUGUUCAUGCACGCUAUCACUCAGUCUUCACUCAGUGCUAGAUAUUAUGCGGCCCUCACAACAGCGACUACUGAACCUUAACUUGAAAACAUUGGGAUAAAAAGAGU
Molecule: non-coding RNA, 1979 nt
Organism: Cherax quadricarinatus
Lineage: Eukaryota; Metazoa; Arthropoda; Malacostraca; Decapoda; Parastacidae
Source: RefSeq, a predicted model, not a curated record